GGACUACCCGGGUAUCUAAUCCUGUUCGCUCCCCUAGCUUUCGCGCCUCAGCGUCAGAUGCCAGCCAGGACACUGCCUUCGCCUUUGGUAUUCCUCCGGAUAUCUACGCAUUUCACCACUCCACCCGGAAUUCUAUGUCCCUCUCUGGCCCUCAAGUCCAACAGUCUUCGGAGGCCUUCCCCAGUUAAGCCGGGAACUGUCACUCCAAACUUGCUGCACCGCCUGCACGCCCUUUACGCCCAGUAACUCCGGACAACGCUCGCCCCCUACGUAUUACCGCGGCUGCUGGCAC
This 292-nucleotide ribosomal RNA is filed under the name uncultured bacterium. RNAcentral's name for it is "partial 16S ribosomal RNA". The record is from RNAcentral.